UUUUUUAGAGUUUGAUCCAUGGCUCAGAUUGAACGCUGGCGGCAUGCCUUACACAUGCAAGUCGAACGGUAACAGGUCUUCGGACGCUGACGAGUGGCGAACGGGUGAGUAAUACAUCGGAACGUGCCCAGUCGUGGGGGAUAACUACUCGAAAGAGUAGCUAAUACCGCAUACGAUCUGAGGAUGAAAGCGGGGGACCUUCGGGCCUCGCGCGAUUGGAGCGGCCGAUGGCAGAUUAGGUAGUUGGUGGGAUAAAAGCUUACCAAGCCGACGAUCUGUAGCUGGUCUGAGAGGACGACCAGCCACACUGGGACUGAGACACGGCCCAGACUCCUACGGGAGGCAGCAGUGGGGAAUUUUGGACAAUGGGCGAAAGCCUGAUCCAGCAAUGCCGCGUGCAGGAUGAAGGCCUUCGGGUUGUAAACUGCUUUUGUACGGA
Molecule: ribosomal RNA, 439 nt
Filed under: Delftia lacustris
Lineage: Bacteria; Pseudomonadati; Pseudomonadota; Betaproteobacteria; Burkholderiales; Comamonadaceae
Description: bacterial SSU rRNA
Rfam family: Bacterial small subunit ribosomal RNA
Source: RNAcentral